Molecule: ribosomal RNA, 395 nt
Filed under: uncultured bacterium
Lineage: Bacteria
Description: bacterial SSU rRNA
Rfam family: Bacterial small subunit ribosomal RNA
Source: RNAcentral
AUUGAACGCUGGCGGAAUGCUUUACACAUGCAAGUCGAGCGGCAGCGCGGGGGGCAACCCUGGCGGCGAGCGGCGAACGGGUGAGUAAUACAUCGGAACGUGUCCUUUCGUGGGGGAUAACCAGUCGAAAGACUGGCUAAUACCGCAUGAGAUCUCACGAUGAAAGCGGGGGACCGCAAGGCCUCGCGCGAUUGGAGCGGCCGAUGUCGGAUUAGCUAGUUGGCGGGGAAAAGCCCACCAAGGCUACGAUCCGUAGCUGGUUUGAGAGAACGACCAGCCACACUGGGACUGAGACACGGCCCAGACUCCUACGGGGGGCAGCAGUGGGGAAUUUUGGACAAGUGGGGGCAACCCUGAUCCAGCCAUGCCGCGUGUGUGAAGAAGGCCUGGUGUAA